AGCAGAUGCACUGUAUGUUUUCAAAUUACUUGAUGGAACCUUGAAGCGUUAUAUGCGAAGACACACGAGGAAGACAACAUCUUGUGCUUGUGUGCAAAGGUGAUGUAGAUGCGGUCCAACGUUCCGGAGCCUACUCUGUCUCCGGUUGUUACAUCUACCUUGUACUCGGCCAUGGUCACUCAGCGUUCUCAAAACUUCAAGUGUCUUCACUGAAGCCACAGCGCAGUGGAAGAGAAACCACUGACUGGGGAGUACAAAACCUGAAGAAAUGUUCCCCAGAAAUCCAUAGUUGAAGAUCUCCUCCACCCAUUCCUGGAGUUCAGAAUCUGCCAACACCUCGCUGUCCGAUGGGUAAUAAUACGACACUACUGCCUUGACAAAGCUGCAGGUGGGAGAGAAUUACAGCACACCUUUACCCCCCCACACUCUAAAACAGCCGGUUUUGGGUGCUCAUGCAAAUGACUGAGGUCCUUUGUGCUUCAUGCUGGGUUGUACAGAAGCUCAUGUGAUGACUAGGUUAUUAGUGUUAGUUGUGAGAUCAUUUCAACCUGCAAUAAAUGCCUCUUCUAACGCCAACACCUAGUGGCCGAUAUAGAAGGAGUGACUGAGGUGAUCUGUGUAUCCAACACUAAGCGUUGAAACUCCAGGCUGCUGCAUAACCAGCAGAUACCUGUGAAUGAUGUUCCACAGCCUGAGAGCGUCAUCUCUGUAAUAAAAAUUAGGAACAGCCUCCAGGCCUCUGGCAGCAAUGUCUUUGUGAGGGCAUAGUGAAUGGUAGGUCAGCUGGGCCAGUGCCCUUCUCAUUAGCUGCACUUGUCCUUCUGCGGAAAGAGCACUCUAACGACAACAUUCAAUUAGUGAGGAGAAAAAAAUAGAUAAACACUAAAGCGUUUCAUACAUUAUCAAGAGCUCUCCCAGGACCGUAAAGACUAGCACGGGCGAUUGUGUUAGC
This is a non-coding RNA of Doryrhamphus excisus (bluestripe pipefish), 952 nucleotides long. Lineage: Eukaryota; Metazoa; Chordata; Actinopteri; Syngnathiformes; Syngnathidae. The record is from RefSeq and is a predicted model, not a curated record.